This 2135-nucleotide long non-coding RNA is filed under the name Nicotiana benthamiana. Its description in RNAcentral is "long non-coding RNA (NBEN_LNC039924)". The record is from RNAcentral. Lineage: Eukaryota; Viridiplantae; Streptophyta; Magnoliopsida; Solanales; Solanaceae.
UCAUGAGAAUGUGCACCCAAUUAAUAACUCUUAAAAAAACUAGAAAGCGACUCAAUAUCCUUACAGAUUUAACAAAUCAAUUUCAAACGAAAUAAACAAAUGAGAGUAGAGAAGACUAGUGGACAAAAUCAUAACACAGCCAUAAAGUGUCAAAAAAGCCACAAAGUCACAACUCUUCAACGGCGACCCUUCAUCUUAAAGUCAUUGUCACUUUCUGUUGUAUAAAAAUGAAAUAUAUCACGCGAAUGAACCAAGUCCAGUGGAUUAUACUUUCCCUGUUUUGCAAUUUGUACUUCCAAGAAAACAAACUUUCGUGUUUUGAAUUUGAAAGAUAGCAUCACCCUUUUUCAACUCAAAAAGGAUUGAAAUAGAACAUUAAACUCAAAGCAGAAGCUUCAACCUAUGAGAAUUGACUAACACCUUACAAAAAAUCUAAUAAUUAUUGACGACGCACUGAAGGUUUAAGCCAUACAAGAAUCAAGUAAAACGACAAAGCUCAUCAAGCAAGGCCCAGCAUCAGUAAACAACAAAGAAAAAAUAUGAAUCAAAACCAUCGGAAGGAACUGUUUAGGUAUUCUAGGUAUCGAUUCAUGUCAAACCCCCAGGUUCAUUCUUAAUUGAAUUCAGAAUUCCUGGACAUAAGGACAACCUGAAUUGGUGAGCCAAGACAAUUGAAAAGGCACUCGAGCACAGGAAAAAAUGUUAAAUAAGGCAGUUGAAGUAUGGCAAUUUCAACAGAAAUCAAUGCAGCUUUGUACCUAAAAUACAACGCAAAGAAAGCAAAUCCGCAAUAUUACACAGGCUUCAUAUGAUGUUUUGUUAAAGAAGUUCAAUGACAGAAUUCUCAUGCAAAAAAAAAAAAAAACACAUGAACACCCACUGGUCCUUCAACAUGGGGAGCCUCAAAGAUCAAAUAUCAAUGACAGAAUUCUCAUGCAAAAAAAAAAAAAAAACAUGAACACCCACUGGUCCUUCAACAUGGUGAGCCUCAAAGAUCAAAUAUUAUCCAAUGGGAACUUCAACAGCUUUAAACUAGCAGAAAUAUGCAGCAUGAUCAUAUAUCCAGAUAAAGGGGAAACACUUUAGUGAUCAAUGUAGAACUUGUCGAAACAAAAUAGUAGAUACAUUCAGAGUCGUGCAAGUAGGCUGCCUUGAUAGUGCAAACAGGGCAGCUGUCUCAAUUCAUCAAGGUUCAGAAUGAUUACUUAGUUUCGAGUCCCUAACAACUGCUAUCAAUUAGCCUAUACUCGAUGACAGUCCCAAAAUUUUGGUGCAAAGGUAAGCUCAUACUUUCAACCAGCAGAACGUGCAAAUAUGGUCGAGGGAUUAGGGAAAACGAAACCAUUCAAUGAUUCAUGUCGAACAUAUUGAAACUAAGACAGAAAAUACAAGCAGAUUGACUUAAAUAUUAAAGAACAUCAUAUGCAAGAGAUGAAGCAGAGAAGAUCAUCUUAUGAAAACAUCCUGAGAAUAAACGUCAUAGUUUCAGGCUCGCUUAGCAAUCAUGGAAGUUGAACACACCAUUCAUUUGAAGGCGACGAAACCUUGACUCAAAUGAAACUCGACAUCACAAUAACAUUUUAACAAAAGAAAAUGACCACUCAAAAUCAAUUUCUACUAACUGAAAAUAUUCAAGUGCAUCACACCACUGAGAAGCAGUUCAACAACAAAAAGAAUCACGCACAGAACCAAACAUCAUUCUGGACAAAAUAUCACUGCUCAAAAUACUUUAUAACAGAGAGGCGAAAGAUAAAGAAAUCAAACCUGAAAUUUCAAAAUCUUUCUGAUAAAUAUAUUCUCGACAAUACACCUUUUCAUUCCGAAUCCUAUCAAGGUUCAAUAGUGAUCAACAGAACAACAGUAGAAACAUAGCUCUAACUUCAAUUUGUAUCUUCCAGGAACUCAAAUUCAGAUUCAAAAAUAAUAAGAAAAAAUUGUAUCUAUAUUUUUCUUAACCUUUAAUGACCAUGUCAAAGAAAAUCAACUCGGAAAAUCAAUUUGUUCACAGAAAACGUUUACACCCUUUUCUCUCAAUUUUUUUAAGCCCCCCAUCCUCCUUCAAAAUUGGAUUGAGCUUCUUUUGAAAAUGAAUCCUUGAUGAAUGUGGGGCUUGGAUUGAGUGAAAUCAAUCUAAC